AUUGAACGCUGGCGGCAGGCCUAACACAUGCAAGUCGAGCGGAUGAAGGGAGCUUGCUCCUGGAUUCAGCGGCGGACGGGUGAGUAAUGCCUAGGAAUCUGCCUGGUAGUGGGGGAUAACGUCCGGAAACGGGCGCUAAUACCGCAUCCGUCCUGAGGGAGAAAGUGGGGGAUCUUCGGACCUCACGCUAUCAGAUGAGCCUAGGUCGGAUUAGCUAGUUGGUGGGGUAAAGGCCUACCAAGGCGACGAUCCGUAACUGGUCUGAGAGGAUGAUCAGUCACACUGGAACUGAGACACGGUCCAGACUCCUACGGGAGGCAGCAGUGGGGAAUAUUGGACAAUGGGCGAAAGCCUGAUCCAGCCAUGCCGCGUGUGUGAAGAAGGUCUUCGGAUUGUAAAGCACUUUAAGUUGGGAGGAAGGGCAGUAAGUUAAUACCUUGCUGUUUUGACGGUACCAACAGAAUAAGCACCGGCUAACUUCGUG
RNAcentral lists this ribosomal RNA (484 nucleotides) under uncultured bacterium. RNAcentral describes it as "partial 16S ribosomal RNA". It matches the Rfam family "Bacterial small subunit ribosomal RNA", at positions 30 to 507 of the family's 1533-position model. The record is from RNAcentral.